UACGUAGGGUGCGAGCGUUGUCCGGAAUUACUGGGCGUAAAGAGCUCGUAGGUGGUUUGUCGCGUUGUUCGUGAAAACCGGGGGCUUAACCCUCGGCGUGCGGGCGAUACGGGCAGACUGGAGUACUGCAGGGGAGACUGGAAUUCCUGGUGUAGCGGUGGAAUGCGCAGAUAUCAGGAGGAACACCGGUGGCGAAGGCGGGUCUCUGGGCAGUAACUGACGCUGAGGAGCGAAAGCGUGGGGAGCGAAUAGG
RNAcentral lists this ribosomal RNA (253 nucleotides) under uncultured bacterium. RNAcentral's name for it is "partial 16S ribosomal RNA". It matches the Rfam family "Bacterial small subunit ribosomal RNA", at positions 524 to 776 of the family's 1533-position model. The record is from RNAcentral.